RNAcentral lists this ribosomal RNA (253 nucleotides) under uncultured bacterium. Its description in RNAcentral is "partial 16S ribosomal RNA". It matches the Rfam family "Bacterial small subunit ribosomal RNA", at positions 524 to 776 of the family's 1533-position model. The record is from RNAcentral.
GACGAACCGUGCGACCGUUGUUCGGAUUCACUGGGCUUAAAGGGCGCGUAGGCGGGUCCACCAGUCAGGGGUGAAAGCUCCCGGCCCAACCGGGAAAGUGCCUUUGAUACUGUGGAUCUCGAGGGGGGUAGGGGCACGCGGAACUUCCGGUGGAGCGGUGAAAUGCGUAGAUAUCGGAAGGAACGCCGGUGGCGAAAGCGGCGUGCUGGACCUCUACUGACGCUGAGGCGCGAAAGCUAGGGGAGCGAACAGG